RNAcentral lists this ribosomal RNA (629 nucleotides) under bacterium LFBA2C. RNAcentral describes it as "bacterial SSU rRNA". It matches the Rfam family "Bacterial small subunit ribosomal RNA", at positions 72 to 717 of the family's 1533-position model. The record is from RNAcentral.
AACCACUUCGGUGGGGAUUAGUGGCGAACGGGUGAGUAACACGUGGGCAAUCUGCCCUGCACUCUGGGACAAGCCCUGGAAACGGGGUCUAAUACCGGAUACUGACCCGCUUGGGCAUCCAAGCGGUUCGAAAGCUCCGGCGGUGCAGGAUGAGCCCGCGGCCUAUCAGCUUGUUGGUGAGGUAAUGGCUCACCAAGGCGACGACGGGUAGCCGGCCUGAGAGGGCGACCGGCCACACUGGGACUGAGACACGGCCCAGACUCCUACGGGAGGCAGCAGUGGGGAAUAUUGCACAAUGGGCGAAAGCCUGAUGCAGCGACGCCGCGUGAGGGAUGACGGCCUUCGGGUUGUAAACCUCUUUCAGCAGGGAAGAAGCGAAAGUGACGGUACCUGCAGAAGAAGCGCCGGCUAACUACGUGCCAGCAGCCGCGGUAAUACGUAGGGCGCGAGCGUUGUCCGGAAUUAUUGGGCGUAAAGAGCUCGUAGGCGGCUUGUCACGUCGGUUGUGAAAGCCCGGGGCUUAACCCCGGGUCUGCAGUCGAUACGGGCAGGCUAGAGUUCGGUAGGGGAGAUCGGAAUUCCUGGUGUAGCGGUGAAAUGCGCAGAUAUCAGGAGGAACACCGGUGGCG